RNAcentral lists this ribosomal RNA (480 nucleotides) under uncultured bacterium. Its description in RNAcentral is "bacterial SSU rRNA". It matches the Rfam family "Bacterial small subunit ribosomal RNA", at positions 501 to 981 of the family's 1533-position model. The record is from RNAcentral.
CUACGUGCCAGCAGCCGCGGUAAUACGGAAGGUCCAGGCGUUAUCCGGAUUUAUUGGGUUUAAAGGGAGCGUAGGCUGGAGAUUAAGUGUGUUGUGAAAUGUAGACGCUCAACGUCUGAAUUGCAGCGCGAACUGGUUCACUUGAGUAUGCACAACGUAGGCGGAAUUCGUCGUGUAGCGGUGAAAUGCUUAGAUAUGACGAAGAACUCCGAUUGCGAAGGCAGCUUACGGGAGCACAACUGACGCUGAAGCUCGAAGGUGCGGGUAUCAAACAGGAUUAGAUACCCUGGUAGUCCGCACAGUAAACGAUGGAUGCCCGUUGUUAGUUCACUUACGAAUUAGCGACCAAGCGAAAGCAUUAAGCAUCCCACCUGGGGAGUACGCCGGCAACGGUGAAACUCAAAGGAAUUGACGGGGGCCCGCACAAGCGGAGGAACAUGUGGUUUAAUUCGAUGAUACGCGAGGAACCUUACCCGGGCU